RNAcentral lists this ribosomal RNA (490 nucleotides) under Bacillus sp. (in: firmicutes). Its description in RNAcentral is "bacterial SSU rRNA". It matches the Rfam family "Bacterial small subunit ribosomal RNA", at positions 52 to 523 of the family's 1533-position model. The record is from RNAcentral. Lineage: Bacteria; Bacillati; Bacillota; Bacilli; Caryophanales; Bacillaceae.
UAUACUGCAGUCGAGCGGACAGAUAGGGAGCUUGCUCCCUGAUGUUAGCGGCGGACGGAUGAGUAACACGUGGGUAACCUGCCUGUAAGACUGGGAUAACUCCCGGAAACCGGGGCUAAUACCGGAUGGUUGUUUGAACCGCACGGUUCAAACAUAAGAGGUGGCUUCGGCUACCACUUACAGAUGGACCCGCGGCGCAUUAACUAGUUGGUGAGGUAACGGCUCACCAAGGCGACGAUGCGUACCCAACCUGAGAGGGUGAUCGGCCACACUGGGACUGACACACGGCCCACACUCCUACCGGAGGCAGCAAUAGGGAAUCUUCCGCACUGGACGAAAGUCUGACGGACCAACGCCCCGCGAGUGAUGAAUGUUUUCGGAUCGAACAGCUCUCUUGUUAGGGAAGAACGAGUACCGUUCGAAUAGGGCGGUACCUUGACGGUCCCUAACCAAAAGGCCCCGCCUAAUUACUGGCCAGCAGCCACACAAA